Molecule: long non-coding RNA, 458 nt
Filed under: Ananas comosus (pineapple)
Lineage: Eukaryota; Viridiplantae; Streptophyta; Magnoliopsida; Poales; Bromeliaceae
Description: long non-coding RNA (ACOM_LNC015505)
Source: RNAcentral
UUUUUAAUUUUCUUUUCAUAUUUCAUCAAAAACUAGUGUUUCGUUUUUUCAAAAUAAAAUCAAAAAACGAAAACAAUAAUAUUUCGUAAAUUCUUGUUGAAUAUAAAAAUGUUUAAACAUCGUUAUCUAACAGCUUAAGUUUUUAGAAUACAACGGUUGUUUCGUAUGGUAUUAGAGCAAGAGGUCCUGAGUUCAAGUCACACCAGCCUCCUAACAUAUUAGGGCCGAUUAAAAAGUCUCGAGCCCAGAAGUUAGGGGGAGUGUUAAAUAUAAAAAUAUUGUUUUACAAUUCUAGAAUUUUCUUUUUCCAAACACGCUAGUUUUCUUUUUUUUUUUAACAAAAAGGACAAAAAAUUGGAGAAGAAAAUUUUCAUGAAAAUCUUAUUUUCCAAAGAAUAUUCAUGCUUUUUCUAAAAACCAAACAACAUCUUAAACUUUUGAAUUACUAACAAUCAUCG